AUCCUGGCUCAGGACGAACGCUGGCGGCGUGCUUAACACAUGCAAGUCGAACGCUGAAGCUCAGCUUUUGUUGGGUGGAUGAGUGGCGAACGGGUGAGUAACACGUGAGUAACCUGCCCCCUUCUUUGGGAUAACGCCCGGAAACGGGUGCUAAUACUGGAUAUUCACUGGUCUUCGCAUGGGGGUUGGUGGAAAGGGUUUUUCUGGUGGGGGAUGGGCUCGCGGCCUAUCAGCUUGUUGGUGGGGUGAUGGCCUACCAAGGCUUUGACGGGUAGCCGGCCUGAGAGGGUGACCGGUCACAUUGGGACUGAGAUACGGCCCAGACUCCUACGGGAGGCAGCAGUGGGGAAUAUUGCACAAUGGGCGCAAGCCUGAUGCAGCGACGCCGCGUGAGGGAUGGAGGCCUUCGGGUUGUGAACCUCUUUCGCUCAUGGUCAAGCCGCAACAAUGGUUGUGGUGAGGGUAGUGGGUAAAGAAGCGCCGGCUAACUACGUGCCAGCAGCC
RNAcentral lists this ribosomal RNA (504 nucleotides) under Actinomyces sp. 12-002. Its description in RNAcentral is "bacterial SSU rRNA". It matches the Rfam family "Bacterial small subunit ribosomal RNA", at positions 16 to 516 of the family's 1533-position model. The record is from RNAcentral. Lineage: Bacteria; Bacillati; Actinomycetota; Actinomycetes; Actinomycetales; Actinomycetaceae.